AAUAAGAGGAGCUCUGCUCCAGGAAACGCAAUUCCCAUGUUUGCCCUUUCCUUCACCAACUCGCCUGUGGUCCCGUCUGCAGCAUCUGCUGUGCCAAACCUCCCACCAGGUGAAAGAGAAG
This is a long non-coding RNA of Lepidothrix coronata (blue-crowned manakin), 121 nucleotides long. RefSeq lists it as uncharacterized. The record is from RefSeq and is a predicted model, not a curated record. The transcript is spliced from 3 exons. NCBI's taxonomy places the organism in Eukaryota, Metazoa, Chordata, Aves, Passeriformes, Pipridae.